GUUUGUGGCAGCCCUUUUUGUAGAGGCAAGAAACUGGAAACUGAGUGGAUGCCCAUCAGUUGGAGAAUGGCCAAAUAAGUGUGGGGAGCGCCAGGAAGAGACGUUUCUGUACAUCCAUCCUAUGACGGUUUCUAGUCUACUCUCCAAGGUCGGAAAGUGUUCGAGGGGUUUGAUUUAUUGA
Molecule: long non-coding RNA, 181 nt
Filed under: Sarcophilus harrisii (Tasmanian devil)
Lineage: Eukaryota; Metazoa; Chordata; Mammalia; Dasyuromorphia; Dasyuridae
Description: lncRNA (ENSSHAG00000028176.1)
Source: RNAcentral